Molecule: signal recognition particle RNA, 100 nt
Filed under: Lachnospiraceae bacterium
Lineage: Bacteria; Bacillati; Bacillota; Clostridia; Lachnospirales; Lachnospiraceae
Also listed under: 1 other name
Description: signal recognition particle sRNA small type
Rfam family: Bacterial small signal recognition particle RNA
About the family: The signal recognition particle (SRP) is a universally conserved ribonucleoprotein involved in the co-translational targeting of proteins to membranes.
Source: RNAcentral
GUUCGGGUCUCGCGCAAUGGAAACUCGUGAACCGUGUCAGGAUGGGAACAUAGCAGCACUAAGCGGGAACUUUCAUGUGCCGCGAGGGUGCCUGGCUCUA